AAUACUGCUCCAUGUUUGGAGCACCUGCCACGUGCCACUCAGGACGCUGGUAGCUCCUGUAACUCCUCUGACCUCACAGCAGCUACUGCUGUUACUGAGGAAAGGUACAGAUCAGAGACCUUGGAAUGAUUAAGUGACAUAGCCAGGUGCUCACAGGAAGGCUCUCGUCUGCAGCUUUUGAUUGAAAAACCCAUUCUUAUAAAACCACAGCUAGAGCUGCUGUCUCAACUGCCACAUCCAAAGCCGUCACCUAAGGCCACUCUGUCCAGGAAAUUUUCCUCCCUGGCCUCUCAACUUGAAGCUCCUUUCCUUCAUAUCCAUCUUCCUUUCUGACUCCUAGCGUCAUUGUCACCAAAAUAAAUAGGAUAAAUUUAAUACCCUUUACUAACACCCCCUCUGACCCCCUGACCGCCUGCUCUGACAUUUGACUCCCACCUUCGCCUGUUCUCUCCUCCAGCAAGGAAUCAUGGACCCCAGGCACCUCACUCCAUCUUUGCUUUGCUUGGAAUACUGUUGAGCUUUGCGACAGACUUUUCAUCCUUCAAGGCCCAGCAGUUCAGGCAGACAGCAGACAGCCUCACUAGGAGUAGGCUGAGCCUGCUUCCCUGCCAGACUAGGGUGGGCUGACUGGUGUCUGCUUGCACAAAGUAGUUGCUGGCUAAAAAUAUGAAUGAAUGAAUGUGCUGGCCAUGGAACCCAAGGCUUCGAAUAUGGUAGGGAAAAGCUCUAUCCCCAUGAUUUUGAGCUUAUCACAUCUAUGAUCACUUCAAAUCUAACAGAAAACCUUGCAAGGAUACCAAGGGAAGAAGCAAUGGCAUCUGGCCAUAAACUUGUGUCUUUGGCCUCUUGACCUCCUGCCCUGUCACUGUCUAGCUCUUCCUUGGACCUUUGUUUCUGAUGCCUUCAGUAGUGGAUUACUGCAAACUCCGUAGAAGCCCAGACUACUUUUAGGAGAUGGGGUAUGUACUAUGGGUAUUUUUUUUUUUUUCUGCUGUAAGUAACUUUCUUUCUUAGUAGAGGGCCCC
RNAcentral lists this long non-coding RNA (1025 nucleotides) under Fukomys damarensis (Damara mole-rat). Its description in RNAcentral is "lncRNA (ENSFDAG00000021909.1)". The record is from RNAcentral. Lineage: Eukaryota; Metazoa; Chordata; Mammalia; Rodentia; Bathyergidae.